This 347-nucleotide long non-coding RNA is filed under the name Elaeis guineensis (African oil palm). RNAcentral describes it as "long non-coding RNA (EGUI_LNC057494)". Lineage: Eukaryota; Viridiplantae; Streptophyta; Magnoliopsida; Arecales; Arecaceae. The record is from RNAcentral.
CUCUAGAUCAUCCUUUAGAAAGGUUUAAGAGAUUUGAAGAAAAGAUCCAGAUCAGUCAAGAAGAUGGUCUUCACGCGAGCUAGCACUCUCGAGAAGAUCGAUCAGAUCGAAGCUUCGAGUGGACCUUCCAUAGAGGUCAGACACAUGUGCAGCUAUAAGCAACCAGCAAGGAUCAUCUUUACCACAUCUCUCAGUAACAACCAUCAUCGAUCCAUACUCAGAUAUCGAGUUCUGAAUUCAGAUAGAUGUAGAUUUGAUCUACUACUGACAUGUAUGCAUGCAGAUUUUAUUUUGUAAUUUUUUUAGAUUUUAUAUGCAACAUAUCAUGUCUUAAAUCUUAGAGUAGA